UAGGGAAUCUUCCGCAAUGGACGCAAGUCUGACGGAGCAACGCCGCGUGAGUGAAGAAGGAUUUCGGUUCGUAAAACUCUGUUGUUAGAGAAGAACAGCGCAUAGAGUAACUGUUAUGCGUGUGACGGUAUCUAACCAGAAAGCCACGGCUAACUACGUGCCAGCAGCCGCGGUAAUACGUAGGUGGCAAGCGUUGUCCGGAUUUAUUGGGCGUAAAGCGAGCGCAGGCGGUCAAUUAAGUCUGAUGUGAAAGCCCCCGGCUCAACCGGGGAGGGUCAUUGGAAACGGGUUGACUUGAGUGCAGAAGGGGAGAGUGGAAUUCCAUGUGUAGCGGUGAAAUGCGUAGAUAUAUGGAGGAACACCAGUGGCGAAGGCGACUCUCUGGUCUGUAACUGACGCUGAGGCUCGAAAGCGUGGGUAGCAAACAGG
This 429-nucleotide ribosomal RNA is filed under the name Bacteroidota bacterium. RNAcentral's name for it is "Bacteroidetes bacterium partial 16S ribosomal RNA". It matches the Rfam family "Bacterial small subunit ribosomal RNA", at positions 355 to 776 of the family's 1533-position model. Lineage: Bacteria; Pseudomonadati; Bacteroidota. The record is from RNAcentral.